This 486-nucleotide ribosomal RNA is filed under the name uncultured bacterium. Its description in RNAcentral is "partial 16S ribosomal RNA". It matches the Rfam family "Bacterial small subunit ribosomal RNA", at positions 30 to 507 of the family's 1533-position model. The record is from RNAcentral.
AUUGAACGCUGGCGGCAUGCCUUACAUAUGCAAGUCGAACGGCAGCACGGGUGCUUGCACCUGGUGGCGAGUGGCGAACGGGUGAGUAAUACAUCGGAACAUGUCCUGUAGUGGGGGAUAGCCCGGCGAAAGCCGGAUUAAUACCGCAUACGAUCUACGGAUGAAAGCGGGGGACCUUCGGGCCUCGCGCUAUAGGGUUGGCCGAUGGCUGAUUAGCUAGUUGGUGGGGUAAAGGCCUACCAAGGCGACGAUCAGUAGCUGGUCUGAGAGGACGACCAGCCACACUGGGACUGAGACACGGCCCAGACUCCUACGGGAGGCAGCAGUGGGGAAUUUUGGACAAUGGGCGAAAGCCUGAUCCAGCAAUGCCGCGUGUGUGAAGAAGGCCUUCGGGUUGUAAAGCACUUUUGUCCGGAAAGAAAUCCUUGGCCCUAAUACGGUCGGGGGAUGACGGUACCGGAAGAAUAAGCACCGGCUAACUACGUG